RNAcentral lists this long non-coding RNA (984 nucleotides) under Monodelphis domestica (gray short-tailed opossum). Its description in RNAcentral is "lncRNA (ENSMODG00000045205.1)". Lineage: Eukaryota; Metazoa; Chordata; Mammalia; Didelphimorphia; Didelphidae. The record is from RNAcentral.
CCGAGAGUAAAAAUAAUGGGUAGAGCAGAAUAUAUUGUGCUUCAUCUGAAUUAAAAGUCAUAAGAACAACCAGAAGUCAAGAUAUUUUAUUUUGUGAUUCAGAAUCAUUCUGAAAAAUUUCAAUGCCCAAACUGAAUAUAUACAUAACUUCUUUGGGGUUUUAAGAAGAACAUUCAAUAUUUCAGUUUACUUCCAUGUAGAAUAGACAUUAAGGUACUAUAAGCCUUUCAGGACACAUCUAAUAUUUUAUGCAGGCCAAGUAAAUCUGACCCCUUUUUCUGUUUCUUCAGGGGUUUACUCCUACCCCAGAUUUGAAGAAUGUAUUGUCAUGUUUUCCUGAACUUAAAUAGGAGAAUUGGGAUGUUAAAAAUUUAGAAUGAAACUAAUGUACACAGCAAAUUUUUUCCAUAUUAACAUAUCAUGUAUCGCCUGAAUGAUAAUUUUAUUUUUUCAAUAAUAGGAUAAGAGAAAAUUCAGGGACUUCAUUCAAAUUACCAACUUUCAAAAACUGACAGUUUUGAAUCUUCAUCUUAGCAAAGGACUUCCAGUCAGGAUGGUGGCUUAGAGAAAGCUAAUGUUCAGAUCUCAGGAAACCCUUCCCUACAGAACUCAAACUAUAUGCUCAUAAGGCACCGAAAUUCAAAACAAACAACAGCAUAGACCUCGGGAAUCCUCCUCCUGGAUCUGCACCUGGAUCAAAAGAUCCAUGGUUGCUCCCCUCCUGUGAGCUGACUUUGAGGGAUCCCACCAACUGUUCAGAAGUUCGGCUGAAGUCAAUAUUUGCCUUAUUGAGUUCCCAUUUAUUUUAUAUCAGGAGUGUAUCUAGAUGGGAGGAAGAUUAAUGUUUGCAAAUCACUAGAAGACUCUUUGAUAAAAAGCAGAAGAAAAGUAUAAAAACUACCGUGGAAACAACAAAAGUAUGACCUGCCAUUUCAUCUACUUUCUUUUGAAUGGGGGAAAUGAUGAUCAGAGAAAGAAAGUAAC